GGAGUUUGGCAGAGGGGGGUGGAAUUCCACGUGUAGCAGUGAAAUGCGUAGAGAUGUGGAGGAACACCAAUGGCGAAGGCAGCCCCCUGGGUCGAUACUGACGCUCAUGCACGAAAGCGUGGGUAGCAAACAGGAUUAGAUACCCUGGUAGUCCACGCCCUAAACGAUGUCAACUAGGUGUUGGGAGGGUAAAACCUUUUAGUGCCGUAGCUAAC
Molecule: ribosomal RNA, 215 nt
Filed under: uncultured Candidatus Accumulibacter sp.
Lineage: Bacteria; Pseudomonadati; Pseudomonadota; Betaproteobacteria
Description: partial 16S ribosomal RNA
Rfam family: Bacterial small subunit ribosomal RNA
Source: RNAcentral